CCUACGGGGGGCAGCAGUGGGGAAUAUUGGACAAUGGGGGGAACCCUGAUCCAGCCAUGCCGCGUGUGUGAAGAAGGCCCUCGGGUUGUAAAGCACUUUCAGUGAGGAAGAACGCCUGGUGGUUAAUACCCAUCAGGAAAGACAUCACUCACAGAAGAAGCACCGGCUAACUCCGUGCCAGCAGCCGCGGUAAUACGGAGGGUGCGAGCGUUAAUCGGAAUUACUGGGCGUAAAGCGCGCGUAGGUGGCUUGAUAAGCCGGUUGUGAAAGCCCCGGGCUCAACCUGGGAACGGCAUCCGGAACUGUCAAGCUAGAGUGCAGGAGAGGAAGGUAGAAUUCCCGGUGUAGCGGUGAAAUGCGUAGAGAUCGGGAGGAAUACCAGUGGCGAAGGCGGCCUUCUGGACUGACACUGACACUGAGGUGCGAAAGCGUGGGUAGCAAACAGGAUUAGGUACCCCUGUAGUC
Molecule: ribosomal RNA, 465 nt
Filed under: Vreelandella stevensii
Lineage: Bacteria; Pseudomonadati; Pseudomonadota; Gammaproteobacteria; Oceanospirillales; Halomonadaceae
Description: partial 16S ribosomal RNA
Rfam family: Bacterial small subunit ribosomal RNA
Source: RNAcentral